RNAcentral lists this ribosomal RNA (467 nucleotides) under uncultured bacterium. RNAcentral describes it as "bacterial SSU rRNA". It matches the Rfam family "Bacterial small subunit ribosomal RNA", at positions 28 to 507 of the family's 1533-position model. The record is from RNAcentral.
GAUGAACGCUGGCGGCGUGCCUAAUACAUGCAAGUCGAACGAGGAACUUUAAUCUUCGGAUGGAAGUUUCCUAGUGGCGAACGGGUGAGUAACGCGUUGGUGACCUGCCCCAAAGUGGGGGAUAACAGUUCGAAAGGACUGCUAAUACCGCAUAAGAUCAAUGGGAUUAGAUGCCUGUUGAUUAAAGGCGAAAGUCGCUUUGGGAGGGGCCUGCGUCCCAUCAGCUUGUUGGUAGGGUAAUGGCCUACCAAGGCUAAGACGGGUAGGGGACCUGAGAGGGUGGCCCCCCACACUGGCACUGAAACAUGGGCCAGACACCUACGGGUGGCAGCAGUAGGGAAUAUUGGACAAUGGGCGAAAGCCUGAUCCAGCAACGCCGCGUGCGCGAUGAAGGCCUUCGGUUGUAAAGCGCUUUUAGGGAGAUGAGAAGGACAGUAUCCUCUGAAUAAGCCUCGGCGAACUACGUG